GGGUGAUUGGCGCAGUGGUAGCGCAGCUCCUUUACACGGAGAAGGUCGGGGGUUCAAAUCCCUCAUCACCCACCA
RNAcentral lists this transfer RNA (75 nucleotides) under Minisyncoccota bacterium. Its description in RNAcentral is "tRNA-Val". It matches the Rfam family "tRNA". From Rfam's summary of the family: Transfer RNA (tRNA) molecules are approximately 80 nucleotides in length. Their secondary structure includes four short double-helical elements and three loops (D, anti-codon, and T loops). The record is from RNAcentral. Lineage: Bacteria; Bacillati; Minisyncoccota.